CACCGAGUUACCUCCUCUCUCUGUCUGCCUGCGUGCUGCUGACUGUCACCAACACACGCGUGACAGCCACAGCCACCACCGGUGAGUAUUGUCACGGCUGGACAGACCAAAGAAAUAACCGGAGAGAGGGCUUCUACUGCCCCGAGAAAGACGACAGGAAAAGUGCUAUAAUAUGCUGCGGAAGAUGCGAAUAUCGAUAUUGUUGUUCUGAUGGUACCGCCAGACUGGAUCAGGGAACCUGUACGGACGCCGACCCCGACCGAAAGUUACCGAGUAAGGCCGAAGUUGUGGCAGACGAAUUUAUCGCUGGAGACUAUCCUGUCUAUGUUCCCUUCCUGAUUGUUGGCUCCGCCUUCCUGGCCCUCCUUCUCUUCGGAGGCUCCGCCUGCUUCCUCUACAGCCGCCAAUCAUCCUCACAGUCUGUUGCCGUCGCUACCACAGCCACUGCCAUGACAACCACGCUCUCCUGCAGCUCCUCCACCUCCCUGUGUCCCCAUGGCGACCAUACCCUUGGAGACCAACCCAGGUGCCGUGGCGACAGCUGUCAUCACCAACACCUCUGUCGUGGCAACCAGCCCGGCAGCAGUGAGCGUCCAGCUGUGGAGGGCAUCACCGCCGCCGUGAGGCGUCCAGCCGCCCAGCCGCUGCCACCCUGUGUCCACUGCAGUGCCCAACACGCCAACCAACACGCCCACCAACACGCCAACCAGCACGUCGGCCACGGCUACCCUCUCAACCCCCCCACCCACCUCUCCUUCCCCCAACACUUCAACACCCACCCACAGGCUGGCUCCGCCCUCUCCAAAGCCGCCAGCCCCGCCCCCUACGCCACCAUGCCCCGCCCAGACUCCGCACAGGACACGCCCCCCUGGCCGCUAACGCCCUUCCCCAAAUUACCCAUCAGCCCCCAGCAGCUGCCCCCAGGCGUGCUGAUCCCUGCCGCUCUGCUCCGCGGCUACAUCCUGCCCUCCCAGCCCACGCCCACACCCACCCCCACGGCCGCCCAGAGACAGUACCGCAUCCCCUCACCGCCGCCCAGCCUCACGCUCACACACCACCCCAUGGUGUAGAGUGUGUGUGUGUGUGUGUGUGUGUGUGUGUGUGUGUGUGUGUUUGUGAUGUAGAGCCUGUGUGUGUGUGUGUGUGUGUGUGUGUGUGUGUGUGUGUGUGGGUGUGGUGUAGAGCUGUGUGUGUGUGUGUGUGUGUGUGUGUGUGUGUGUGUGUGUGUGUGUGUGGUGUAGAGCCUGUGUGUGUGUGUGUGUGUGUGUGUGUGUGGGUGUGGUGUAGAGCCUGUGUGUGUGUGUGUGUGUGUGUGUGUGUGUGUGUGUGUGUGUGUGUGUGUGGUGUAGAGCCUGUGUGUGUGUGUGUGUGUGUGUGUGUGUGGUGUAGAGCCUGUGUGUGUGUAGAGCCUGUGUGUGUGUGUGGUGUAGAGCCUGUGUGUGUGUGUGUGUGUGUGUGUGUGGUGUAGAGUGUGUGUGUGUGUGUGUGUGUGUGCGUGCGCGUGCGCGUGUUUAAGGCAGUCUAUACAUUCAUGAUUAAUCACACUAAAAUGUAUAAUAAUGCAUCAAAACAGGCAUCAAGGAUAUCAGGCUAACUUCACGCUAACAAAACUCGCAGCAUGAUGUCUUUAUGAAGCACACACACACACACACACACACACGCCAAAUGAUAUCUUUAUGAAGCAGACACACACACGCCGCAUGAUGUCUUUAUGAAGCAGAGACACACACACACACACACACGCCGCAUGAUGUCUUUAUGAAGCAGACACACAAACACACACACACACACACACACACACACACACACACACACACGCCGCAUGAUGUCCUUAUGGAGCAGAGAUGUUGUAUACUGCAGUGUAUAAUUCACUCAUCUAUAUUUAUGUUUGACAUCAAAUAAAAAAGUCAUUUUGUGAUCACAUUUUUUUUGUAAGCAAGGAAGCAAUGUUAAUGACACCUAGCGGUCACAAUGGACGUUACAUGGC
This is a long non-coding RNA of Clupea harengus (Atlantic herring), 1987 nucleotides long. The record is from Ensembl. NCBI's taxonomy places the organism in Eukaryota, Metazoa, Chordata, Actinopteri, Clupeiformes, Clupeidae.